Molecule: ribosomal RNA, 225 nt
Filed under: uncultured bacterium
Lineage: Bacteria
Description: partial 16S ribosomal RNA
Rfam family: Bacterial small subunit ribosomal RNA
Source: RNAcentral
GGGGAAUAUUGCACAAUGGGCGAAAGCCUGAUGCAGCAACGCCGCGUGAGUGAUGAAGGUCUUCGGAUUGUAAAGCUCUGUCUUUUGGGACGAUAAUGACGGUACCAAAGGAGGAAGCACGGCUAACUACGUGCCAGCAGCCGCGGUAAUACGUAGGUGGCGAGCGUUGUCCGGAUUUACUGGGCGUAAAGGGUGCGUAGGCGGAUGUUUAAGUGAGAUGUGAAA